AGAGUUUGAUCCUGGCUCAGAACAAACGCUGGCGGUGUGCCUAACACAUGCAAGUCGUACGUGAAAAUUCGCUUCGGCGGAUGAGUAGAGUGGCGCACGGGUGAGUAACGCGUGGAUAAUCUGCCCUUUAGUCUGGAAUAACUCAUCGAAAGGUGGGCUAAUACCGGAUGAUGCUGUUCUUACUUCGGUGGAACAGCCAAAGAUGGCCUCUAUUUAUAAGCUUUCGCUAAAGGAUGAGUCCGCGUACCAUUAGCUAGUUGGCAGGGUAAUGGCCUACCAAGGCGACGAUGGUUAGCUGGUCUGAGAGGAUGACCAGCCACACUGGAACUGAGACACGGUCCAGACUCCUACGGGAGGCAGCAGUGAGGAAUCUUGCGCAAUGGGGGAAACCCUGACGCAGCAACGCCGCGUGAGUGAGGAAGGUCUUCGGAUCGUAAAGCUCUGUCGGGUGGAAAGGAAGGUAUGGUGGUUAAUACCCUUCAUACUUGACGGUACCACCAGAGGAAGCACCGGCUAACUCCGUGCCAGCAGCCGCGGUAAUACGGGGGGUGCAAGCGUUGUUCGGAAUUAUUGGGCGUAAAGCGCGUGUAGGCGGUUUUUUAAGUCUGAUGUGAAAGCCCUGGGCUCAACCCGGGAAGUGCAUUGGAUACUGGAAGACUUGAAUACGGGAGAGGGCAGUGGAAUUCCUAGUGUAGGAGUGAAAUCCGUAGAUAUUAGGAGGAACACCGGUGGCGAAGGCGGCUGCCUGGACCGAUAUUGACGCUGAGACGCGAAAGCGUGGGUAGCAAACAGGAUUAGAUACCCUGGUAGUCC
This 813-nucleotide ribosomal RNA is filed under the name uncultured bacterium. RNAcentral describes it as "bacterial SSU rRNA". It matches the Rfam family "Bacterial small subunit ribosomal RNA", at positions 8 to 796 of the family's 1533-position model. The record is from RNAcentral.